This 117-nucleotide small nuclear RNA is filed under the name Capra hircus (goat). Its description in RNAcentral is "U5 spliceosomal RNA (ENSCHIG00000003456.1)". It matches the Rfam family "U5 spliceosomal RNA". Rfam says of the family: U5 RNA is a component of both types of known spliceosome. The precise function of this molecule is unknown, though it is known that the 5' loop is required for splice site selection and p220 binding, and that both the 3' stem-loop and the Sm site are important for Sm protein binding and cap methylation. The record is from Rfam by way of RNAcentral. Lineage: Eukaryota; Metazoa; Chordata; Mammalia; Artiodactyla; Bovidae.
AUACUCUGGUUUCUCUUCAGAUCGUAUAAAUCUUUCGCCUUUUACUAAAGAUUUCCGUGGAGAGGAACAAUUCUGAGUCUUUAAACCAAUUUUUUGAGGCCUUGCAUUUGCGAGGCU